GAAGACUAAUCAGGAGUUGAUCCAAUGUAAUCACACCAGAAUCUUUAUUCUAGCUUGUUCAAGCUUACCUCACCUCCACCCUGCAGGACAGUUCUGGUAGAGGAAAAAAUACCUGAACAUUCAUUGAAGACAAGAUAUUAUAGAAAGCAUCAAGCGAAGGAUACAUAGAAAAUUCAAACUGAGGACCUAAUGAUGAAAGGAAUCUUGGCAACUUGGGCAGAAAAGCCCCAAACUCUUCUCCACUCAACAGGUCUUAAGAGUUUCAGAAGUGCAGAAGCAUUUAGUUUUGAUGUUGACAACGUUGAUUUGAUCUCACUUUCAAAGAUGCUACGUAUGUUCAUGGCUCUAUCCCAAUUAACUGUGAGUGCAAAAAAGUAAUAAAUGUGAAAUAUUUUUAUAACCUAAA
Molecule: long non-coding RNA, 406 nt
Organism: Rattus norvegicus (Norway rat)
Lineage: Eukaryota; Metazoa; Chordata; Mammalia; Rodentia; Muridae
Source: RefSeq, a predicted model, not a curated record